UCUCUCCACACUUCCGUAUCUUGAACAUCCAAGCAUCAACUAAUUCGAAAAUCGUCUGACGCGCGAUACUCAUAGGCUUAUUGUGACGAACUACAGCUAAUUGUAGCAAAUCUUAUUUGGUGGGCUCUAAUACCUUUCGUACGUUAUCUGGGCAAAUGUGUUUUCUCAUGUCCGGGAAAGUUUUUUCAUAGCUUGUACCACCAGGUUGUAUGGGAGUUGUCGAAGCACACAAGACAAGCCUCCGGUGAAUAUCAAUAAGGAGAGACAGCGCUAGGGGUAAUGGCCCCCCCUAACGCCAAUUCAAUAGUCAGGAAAUAUUAGGACUGGCUAGAACUAGAGAACGCGUGAAGGGGGUGCAACUGAAGUUAAUUCAUAAGAGAAUCCUGGAGCACCUCUGUCAUACGCGUCGGGUGGUCAUCGUGGAGUUUUAGUCGGUAAGAGUCCGACACUACUCUGCUGUUACGCAAUUACUGCAACAGCGGAGUGUCCAUGAGGAUUUCUCCACGUAAAAAAAAAAAAAAAAAAAAAAAGGUUGUAUGUUAGUUACUCUGGCUUAUCAAUAUGCCCUGUUCAAUGUUGGCCAAGCUGAAUAAUGUCACAGGCCUCUAUCUUCCUUAAUAAGAGCUGUAGGGGAUCGAAUAAUGAGACUACCAAUAUGUGUACUCGUUAGUGUAUUUAAAACAGAUCUUGUCGCGAAACGAUAUCUAUACAGACGUUUAGUCACAGUUUAUACUGAAUCGUUUGCGAUCACGUUCGUUUAGUCAUAAUCGUCAGAAGAAGGUCAAAAGAUACAAAUUCGUCUUGUUUUACGGUUACACGUAGUGGCACCAUUGUUUUCCCCGGAGUUUAUAAUUCCUUACAAUUCCUCUCGAUAUUCCGAAGCAAAACAACAACAGGGUUUGAAGCAAAUUCUAACUCUUAUGCCGCUACAGAGCUUUUUGAGGUAUGGAUAAAUUGAAUGCAUCUUUGUUGAGUCUAGAUGGUCCAGAAUGGCGAACUACCGCAAGUAGAGCAACUAAUCGAAAUAAUAGACACGCACAUAUACGUAAUAUGUUUAACAUGGAUAGGAAAUUGCUUUGAAAUUUAACAAUCAUUGCAAUAAUUACGUAGGUUCGGAAGUCGUAUUACUAGAUACUUAUUGUAAUAUCGUAAAGUAAUUCGAAUUAGAAAUCAGUUGAAAAUAGAGAAACCGUGUACGUCGUGUUUCUGUACUUCGUUUACAUGCAAGAGUGCCUACGUGAAUAAAGGCACCUAGUUGGUAGUUCUUACAUAGGUAUGAGGGAAACAAUAGACAACGUUAGAAGAAGGACGGUUUCGCUACGCAAGGCGAGUCGAAAAGUGUGCGUGUUGCGAGAAUCAGAGCUAAUUGAGUCGUCGAAGAGUAGAGUCGUUAGAGGUAUCGAGUCGUCGAAGAGUAGAGUCGUGAGAAUUGAUAGAGUUGUUAGAGAGAGAGAGAGUGUGUGUGUGUUAGAUUCGUUGUGACGAGAGUGGUCAAAUAACUGUAAAGUUGUUUGAUAUAGAUACGAGUAUUGCAUUUAGUUUCCGUUAAAUAAAUAUCGUUUCCUGUCCAAUUUAUAUUUGUAUAUUCAAUUUAAUAUUAAUAAAUUGUAAGUAAUCGGGAAAAGAUUUCUAUCCUUAUUUUCCGAUUUUACAUUAUUUUCACAGAUUUCAAUUCACUUAUUCAUUGAUUGAUAUUAGGACAAAUGAGGAACUUCGCAUCUAGUUAGAUUAACAAAUAAAAUGUAUUGUUCCUG
Molecule: long non-coding RNA, 1754 nt
Organism: Bombus huntii
Lineage: Eukaryota; Metazoa; Arthropoda; Insecta; Hymenoptera; Apidae
Exons: 3
Source: RefSeq, a predicted model, not a curated record